UGCUAUCAGAAUUUCAGCUCAUGCUUUUGGGUUGUUCCCCUGAUUCCUAUUCCUCCUAAUGGGUUGGCUUUCCAGAAUUUAACUGCUUUUAUGAACCAAGAGCUACAGAAAUGAGAGAAUCUGACAACAUUGCUGGGAAAAAAUCAUGCUAACAGAUAUGGGACCAAACACAUGGCCCUGCUUCACUCCAUUGGCGAUUGGGAAAAUGUGAGAGCAUCAUCCGUUAUCCAAAAUCGGGGGAAGCAUGCCAUCAUGAAAUUGGCAUACAAUACUUGGAGAAGAUUUGCAGAUACUAUUGGUGAGCAGUUAUGACAAAAUCCUCCACCUGCCCUCACCUACUCCCUUUGAACCAUUAAACCAGGUGCAAGUUCCAGACCAGUAUUGAAUCAUUUCCUGGGAGAUUUGCCAUUGCUCUUGGCGGAAGAAUAUCACUCUACUACUCAAUGACACCAUUUUACUACCUCUUACCAAAUUAUUCUUCUUUGGUCACCACUUUGGUAUAUGAGUUAUAAACAACUAUUAAAAUAUCCUAUUAGAAUAAUCUAUCUCGGGGCAGCUAGGUGGCACAAUGGAUAGAGCACUGGAA
Molecule: long non-coding RNA, 586 nt
Organism: Phascolarctos cinereus (koala)
Lineage: Eukaryota; Metazoa; Chordata; Mammalia; Diprotodontia; Phascolarctidae
Source: RefSeq, a predicted model, not a curated record